RNAcentral lists this unclassified non-coding RNA (240 nucleotides) under soil metagenome. RNAcentral describes it as "partial contains 5.8S ribosomal RNA, internal transcribed spacer 2, and large subunit ribosomal RNA". The record is from RNAcentral.
AACAAGGCGUACCUGCGGACCUGCGGAAGGAUCAUUACGAGAGUGUCACCACUCCCAACCCAUUGUUUACCUACCCGUCCACCGUGCUUCGGCAGGCAGCCCUGUGGGACAGAGCCUCGCCCCCCUCCGCGGGGGGGUGCCUGCCGCUGGCCAACCAACAACUCUAGCUGUUUUAGUACCAUCUGAGUCUUCCACAAAUGAACAAAACUUUUAACAAUGGAUCUCAGAUCGGAAGAGCAC